This 69-nucleotide transfer RNA is filed under the name Marmota monax (woodchuck). RNAcentral's name for it is "tRNA.Ala". Lineage: Eukaryota; Metazoa; Chordata; Mammalia; Rodentia; Sciuridae. The record is from RNAcentral.
GGAAUGUGGCUCAAGUGGUAGCGCUCUCGCCUGGCAUGCGUGGGGCACUGGGUUCGAUUCUCAGUACCA